Carlito syrichta (Philippine tarsier) is the source of this 489-nucleotide RNA transcript. It is a transcript of the gene named 1,2-dihydroxy-3-keto-5-methylthiopentene dioxygenase pseudogene, with no coding region annotated. Lineage: Eukaryota; Metazoa; Chordata; Mammalia; Primates; Tarsiidae. The transcript has a single exon. The record is from RefSeq and is a predicted model, not a curated record.
AUGGUGCAGGCCUGCUACAUGGACGAGUCCUCGGAUGACCCGCAGCAGCCGCACCGCCCUGAGUCCAGCCGCCCGGUGGGCCUGGAGCAACUGCACCAGCUCGGGGUGCUCUACUGGAAGCUGGAUGCUGACAUAUAUGAGAAUGAUCCAGAAUUAGAAAAGAUCCGAAGAGAGAGAAACUACUCCUGGAUGGACGUAAUAACCAUAUGCAAAGAUAAACUACCCAAUUAUGAAGAAAAGAUUAAGAUGUUUUAUGAGGAGUAUUUGCACUGGGAUGAUGAGAUCCGCUACAUUCUGGUUGGCAGUGGGUACUUUGAUGUUAGAGAUAAAGAGGACAAGUGGAUCCGGAUCUUCAUGGAGAAAGGAGACAUGAUAAGGCUCCCUGCAGGAAUCUACCACUGCUUCACGGUGGAUGAGAAGAACUACACAAAGGCCAUGCGACUGUUUGUGGGAGACCCAGUGUGGACAGCGUACAACCGACCCGCUGAC